AUAAGCUGCAGGAAGUCGGUGCUCCGGAGCAAGACGGUACUCGACGGAGACUACGACAGCCGGAAUUUCAGUAACAAUUGGAGUGUACAAAGCAUCAAACCUGGCUGUAUUUACACUACACGCCACGAAGCCUCCGGCAUGAAAAUAAAUAAUGAGGGGCAAUUUUUGUUUAGGGGAGGAAUCAUCAUCAUCAAACGCUUUCCGCGGAACGAAUAUUCGAGCCCAGGUGCCCUUCGAUUGGUUUAUGUCCAAGUCCUUUGAAAGAUGAAAAGGGCUGCUAGGAUCGGACGAGGCAGGUGUGCUCGGUGGUUGAAACAGGCGUGUGAUUGAGCCAUCGGGAUUUUUUGCCAAUCCAUGUAGCCAUAGGGGUUUUCAUUAGGAUCAACUGGCUGCUGAACUUGAUCUGACAUGAUGGUUUUCUUGGACAGAUGUUUUGUGGGUAGGAAAGGAUAGAAGGUAUAUUUGUAGAGGCAGCAGAGUCUUGAUAGUUUUCUCUCUGGCUGCGUUGGCUGAUAGGAUUUGUAGUUUAGACGAUUAGUAUAAGUGUUUGCCUCACACUCUCAUACACAAGAACGCCGUUCUAUCUGCUAAUUUGUCGUACAACAUGUAGCAAUUGAUUGAACUUUGAAGAUCAGUCAAUAAGUGCUAAGUGCCAACAACUCCUUUUGUUUUUUUAUUAUUUUUUUAUUUGACCGAGGAGUGGAAUAAUAGUUUUCAAACUUCCCGGGAAGAUGAAAAUAUUGACCACUUCUUCAACUUGAGACUGGAGACCGUCAAAUUUGGCAAUUGAAUUUCGAUUAUUAUUAAUUAGACCGAGGACUCGAGGGCUCUUAAGAAGCCCAAAAGUUGAAAAAGAAGUAAAAUCUGGGAGGGUUCCAACUUAUAAGUUCAAGGUGAUUUUGGAACGUCCCCGGUAGCACAGAAGGAGAUUUUGGGAGCAGAUAUUUUGGGAGUUGUUACCCCUAGGGGUGAUUUCUUCUAAAGGGGGUUUGUCAUUUCUUAUCUCUACAAUAAUAAAGUUUGUGUCGGUAUUAACUUUGUUUGUUUUCAAAUUUAUUUUUAUCUCUAUUUUUUUAAUGAUUAGCUUCUCCAUUAAUCAUUAUUUCUAUUAUCAACUGAAACACAAAUUUUAUCCAAUCAAAAUUAUCUCCCUUCAAUUCUCACAUUCUCCCUUACUAAUGCGUUUUUUACUUCCAAUUGUACAUAUUUCUGUAUAAUACACUUUUUUCACAUAUUACAUAAAAUAGUUACGCUCAUUUGCACUAUUUUUGUAAUUCUUUCAAUUAAAAAUAUUUUUUGACAAAUUGCACACGCAUUAAGUGUGCCUCGAUGACUAGUAGUAACUAAUAAUGAUGAAUAAAGGGAUAGUUUAUUAGUUUUACAAUUUUUUGGACGAUUUUCUCUAUCUUCCAAACAUCCAAGUAAACUGGCACAACAAUUUGAGUUCAAUUUUUAUUAUAAACUCCACCCAAAAUAUUCUUGUUUAUUGGUACAUCAGGUAAAAUGCGGUGAAGUUGACCUCUAUUGUUGCAUAAUUAUAUUUCAGUUGUAUAAAAUUGAAAAGACAAGAUGAAAAAUAUAGGACAUGGAUAUUAUUAUUGACACAGAAAAUCAUUCAACAGAUAUAUUACUUUUCAUUUAGAUGUGAUUAGACUUUAUUUUUUCCACUCAACAUGCUAGUUGAUGCACCUCUACUUUCCGUAAAGUUGCAACCUCCUGUCGAGUACAGAUGAAAUGUAGAAAAUGGAAUUUUACAAAAGAAAAAGACAGCUAAGGAACGAAAAAGAUGGGGAAAAAAAAUUUAGGCAACAUGAAAGCCGAUAUAGUUUUUUUUAUUUUAUAAAUAAAAAGUUUUGAAUUCAGAAUCUCUUACUUGUAAUUCUUUCCGAACACUAGUCGUAUAAGUUUUGUAUAACUGAUACAACUAUCAUCCCGUUACACUACCAUACAAAUCCAAGACCUAAUUGUAUUAUUAUCUCUUUGAAAACAGAAGGGCACAGACAAUUUUAUCACUCAUGUAACUAGAUGACAAUUUUGGGACAAGAAAAGUCCAAAUAUUACUACAUCAAAAGUCCAGCUCACUCGAUAUAAUCAAAAGUAGUCCAUACUGCACACAAAUGAAAUUAGCUAGUAAGCCACCAAACAGAAAAGCUAGUUCUACCAUACCAGCGCACUAGCUUGGCUUAGCUGAACUUUUUGGCUUUUGACCUGUUGUAAGAUCAAAAUAGCUUCCCAAAGCACAUACUUUUUCAAGAAGUGGUGGUAGAUUCAACAAGGUCUUUAAUAACAAUGGCUAGUUCUUUAGCCUUUGUGGGAUCUCCAAGCUCAUACGCAUGAGCUCCUCCCUCAUCAAACUUGCCUGUCACCGAUACACCUUUCUCUUCUAAUUUCUUCCAAAGCUCAAUCUGCCGAUCUAUCAUCAGAUCACCAUCAAAGCCAGUGACCAAAAUCUUCCACCCCAGAGAUUUGACCUGAUCAAAUUGGUCUGGCUUAAUCUUCGCCAUUGGAUUGCAAUACUCAUGAUCGCGGUCAACGCCGAUUGGCAAGCUCAGAUCCCACAUCAGAUCAGUUAACGACAGCGGUACAAACCUGUCGUUGGCGAGCCUCAACUCUGACUCAGUCCUCUCGAUCCCACCAAAGAAUGGUUGAUGCAUUAUCAACCCUUUGAUCUGCAGAGGCAGAGAUCGUCAACACAUGCAGCUACUUGGAGGCCAACAUGAUAAACAAUGUUACCCAACCAGCUACUGCCCAUCAAGAAAGCCUUAGAAAAGUCAGCAUGUUUUGACCACCUCGUCGUUGGAGUUUUUGAUGAUCCAAUGCAAGCUUCGAAGCAAUCUUCAUAAGCUGCAGGAAGUCGGUGCUCCGGACCAAGACGGUACUCGACGGAGACAACUACAGCCGGAAUUUCAGUAACAAUUGGAGUGUACAAAGCAUCAAACAUGGCUGUAUUUACGCUACACGCGACGAAACCUCCAGCAUGAAAAUAAAUAAUGAGGGGCAAUUUUGUUUAGGGGAGGAAUCAUCAUCAUCAAAUGCUUUCCGAGGAACGAAUAUUCGAGCCCAGGUGCCCUUCGAUUGGUUUAUGUCCAAGUCCUUUGAAAGAUGAAAAGGGUUGCUGGAUCGGACGAGGCAGGUGUGCUCGGUGGUUGAAACAGGCGUGUGAUUGAGCCAUCGGGAUUUUUUGCGAUUCCCAGGUAGCCAUAGGGGUUUUCAUUAGGAUCAACUGGCUGCUGAACUUGAUCUGACAUGAUGGUUUUCUUGGACAGAUGUUUUUUUGUAGAUAUAAAGGAAGAUAAUUGUAGAGUUUAUAAGGUAUUUGUAGAGCCUUGCCAGCUAGUUUGACGUUUACUCUCGUUGCUCUUGAUAAUGACUUGUACUAUAUGGGAUUAACAUUCCUAUGACAUAAUUUAUCCUAACCUUGGAAAGGGAAAAUCGAUGAAAGUAAAAAUUUCAUCAGAUAAAGUCAUUGAAGACAGCUACAUACAGUGAUAAUUUGAUGGAAGGUAAAGAUUAAACCCUUCACAUUCCAACAUCACCAAAAUUUAAGUGCUUGACAGUGACCACCAGGCAAAGGACCGGUAGCUCACUUCACAAGAACGCUAAUUUAUUAUAUAACCGUUUGGUUGACUUCUGAUGGAGAAAUCGAUUAAAAACCAGCUGAUUUACUCCUAGUGCUGUAACUUAAAUUUUCCUGUCUGCAUUCGAUGAGUUUUGAUCCAACAAAAAAUUGGGAUUUUCGCUGUGACUUGUGGACAUUGGGGAUUUGGCCCCAUUGGUGGAGUUGUUGGAAUAUUAAUAACUGCUAAUUACUCCUUUGUUUGUAGUGGUUCGAUUUGAACGAAGAGUCAAACAAUAGCUUUCAAACUUCCGUGGAGGGUGAAAUGUUGACCACUUCUUGAACUUAGACUAGAGACUAUCAUUUUCUUUUUUUUUUUUUUGGCGGUAACAAUAACACUUGUAUAACUUGCUUUAACUUAUUUUAGUAAGAGGGAAAGCCUAACCGACAGAGUUGGAUUUCGCUCUGAAGAAGUCACUUGAAAGUGAUAAACACAAUUAAAUUAAAUGAGUAUAUGAUGAGAGGCAAGAGUUAACUUCCACUCCCACCAAAAUUAAAAUCUCAACUUCCAACAAACCACUUGAAAGUGAUAAUCAAAAUUAAAUGAGUAUACGAUGAGAGGCAAGAGUUAACUCCCUCUCCCAUCAAGACUAAAGGUUUAGUGGUGAUAAGCAACUUCCAACAACCUCAACCCAAGAGGUUGUUGGCUUCAUAUUUCGUUGGUAGUCGAAUCCGAUCCUUCCAUCUAUCAUUGGACUGAGGAGGGUUCAAGCCCAGAACUUGAGAGAAAAGUAAAAUUUGGGGGCAGUUCUUCUAUCUUCCAAGUUCAAGUUUCAAGAUUCAAUCUACUUGGGAGAUCCUCUCGGGCCACUGAAGAGAUUUUGGGAUCUGCUGUUUCGGGGUUGUUACCUACCCCAGCCCCCAGGUUGUUUUCUUCUUAAAGGGCCUUUGUCGCACGUUAUAAACCAAACAAAGAAACAAAAUUUAUAGGGAAAAUUACUGUGUUAGUCCUAAUGUACAGCCCUCUACAGUUUUAGUUCUUAAAAGUUUGAUAAAAAAAAAAAAAUUGAUCCCUAAUGUUUUAUAUAUGUAUAGUUUUGGUACCUAAAGUUUGGGCAAGAACAUAUCUGGUUCUCAAUGUAUCCAAUUUAAAGCAGAUUGAUUUAGGACAAUUGAUAAAUUUUUACUGACAUAUUUAGUCAUUAGCAAUCAUGAGUCCAUUAAGUUGAAUUCUAAAAUAAGGGUAAAUUACACUAACUUGAAUUUUAAAAUAAGGGUAAAUUACACUGACUUCCUCUCUAGUUUCUGCAAAAGUUACACACCUCCCUUCUUGAUUUUUUUUUUUUUUUUUUUUUGAUAAUACCUCCCUUCUUGAUUUUAAAAUUACAGGGAUCUCACCUCUAAAUCACUAUAUAAUGUUGAUUACUUCCCCUACUGUUAACCAGAUAAUGAAAGUCAAUUUGUAUUGCCAUUAAUAUCCUCCCACAUUCCCAAAAUGCCCUAGGUUGACAUUGUUUUUCUUUUCUACAAAAUUGAAAAAUCUGAUUGCAAGAUUUUUUUUUUUUUCUUUAGCUCUUAUGGUAGUAUGAAACACAUCCUAGCAUUUUGUAGAAAAUAUCCAAUUUAGAUCCAACAGAAUUGGAGGCUUCAACCGCUGAUAUAAAUCUCAGGCUCAUUCACUAGGCUAAAAGGACUAUAUUUCCCUUUCCAUAUUGAUAUCUGCCAUUUGUAAUGUAGUUAUUAUACUCGACUCGACCUGACAGUUGAAUUGGUCAACUUGAUGAAUCAGCCACCGAACCGGCUGGGUUAGUAAUUAGAUUGGAUAAUGGAAGAUCCCAAUCCCAUUGAUUAGUUAAUGAUGCAGUGGGGUUGCUGGAAUUUGAAUCCAAGACUAGUCGGGUCCAUGUGUUUCUUUUCGAAUAGGAAAUAGUUCAACCAAAAAAAUCUCACAAAUCCAACAACGAUUGGACCACCGGUUCGACCACUAAUUCAAUUAUUUAUUAUUUUUAAUAACUCAAACUUUUCAUUUUAAUUUCAUCAUUUUUCUUGCUAUAGUAUUUCCUUUUUAUAAUAAAUUUUUAGAAUUUUUGAAAAACAUUAUUUGUCAAAAUUUGCUUAUCACUUUUGAUGAACGAUCAAUAUACCGCAGCCAAGGUAGGUGGAACAAUUGAGUCGGUGACCGCGACUGCAACUGCCAUGGCAAAUCAGGUCCCAACCCUGAUUAAGCCAUUAGGAUUAAGGUCUAUGUCACUUAAUUCGUGGAUGGAUCAAUUCCAUUUAUGGUAGAUUUCUUGUAUAUGAGUGUAUAUGAAGACAUUCCAAGGUUUAUGCGGUGGUAGACCUGGCGGUCCAUCCUGUGUAGGUUUUCGGUGGUUGUGAGCAAUUGAAACAUGGCCAGGUAACAUCAGGUCACCAUCCAGUUGAACUCUAUAUGUUGGCCAGAAGUAAAAGAAUAAUACGCAUGAUGUUGUAGGUCCUAGUAAUGGUUAUUGGUUAAUAUCAUAUAUUUGAUAUUUUCUCGACUGCUAGCACCAUGAUUUGAGUCUCAACCCCGGUUUAGACCAGUUGAGAUUCUAAUUCAAUGUCAAUUCCACUUAUCACGUGAUGAUAGAAGAAAUUUAAAUAAACAGCACAUGACAAGUUAAAUAAACAAAACACUUGGUAUAAAUAUAGAAGUGAUACUGAAUUGCUACCGGAAAAGUGGCAUUGAGAAUCCCACGUGGGCUUAGACACCCCAAAUAGGAGAACAUAUGAAGCAUGAAAAAUAUUUUGAUCAGCAUUGUCAUGUUUGAAUAUCUUGAAGAGUUUAACACGUAAAGAUCGAUCAAAGAGUAGCUCAAACUUGUGUAGAAGUUUAACCCUGGUAUCUGAAAUCAAUGGCCUUGCUUUGGAAGCAAGUUUUUAGCUAAGUUUGUCUGCUACAAGUUUUUUAAUAACUUUAGUUAUAGUGACCUUAAAAAACUUUUCAAAAUUUUUAAAUUAUACACUUCAAAAUAUUAAAAAAUUUACACACUUCAAAAAUUUACCUACAACUUCUACAGUGAGUUACAAUAAAAUUUUAGACAAACACCCAAAAAACUCACUUGCCAAACGGAGCCAAUGUCUGAAAAACCAGUGUUAGAGGAGAGUUACCCGACUCUUCAAAACUUCCAGUAGAUUUGUAGUUAUCCAACUCAACAAAAACAGAGGAGUUACCAGAGGGUUGAGGUGCAUGAGAUAUCGGAUUAAAAUUUAUUUCCAUGAUACGGAUUUAGAAGUUUGAUACAGAUAUAACCUGGGUUUAAACCCGACUAGAUCUAAAAGUUGUAAUUGUAAACCUGAAAGUUUUUGAAGAAAAUAAAGAACACAAAACCACUGACUAAAUUUGAGAGUAACCUGUUGUAAGAUAUCCCAAGCACAGACUUUUUCAAGAAGCGGUGGCAGAUUCUACGAGGUCCUUAAUGGUAAUGGCCAGUUCUUUAGCCUUGGCGGGAUCUAGAGCCUCGUACCCAUGACUUCCUCCCUCGUCAAACUUACCUGUUACUGAUACACCGUUCUCUUCUAAUUUCUUCCAAAGCUCAAUCUGACGGUCUCUCAACGGAUCACCAUCAAAGCCAGUGACCAAAAUCUUCCACCCUAGAGCUUUAACCUGAUCAAAUUGGUCUGAUGUAAUGAACGCCAUUGGAUUGCAAUACCUAUGAUCACGGUCAAAGCCAAUUGGCAAGCUUAGAUCCCACAUCAGAUCACAUACUGUCAACGGUAUAACCAUGUCCUUGGCCAAUUUCAACUCAGAUUCAGUCAGCUCGGUCCCACCGAAGAAUGGAUGAUGCAAUAUCAACCCUUUGAUUCGCAGAGGCAGGAGAUCAUCCAUACAUGCAGCUGCACUUAAGCCAACAUGAUAGGCUAUGUUACCACCAGCAUUGGUGCCCAUCAAGAAAGCCUUAGAAAAGUCAGCAUAUUUUUCCAACCAUUCAUCGUUUGAUGCUUUAAUCCAAUGCAAGGCUUCAAAGCAAUCUUCGUAAGCUGCAGGAAGCCGGUGCUCCGGAGCAAGACGAUACUCGACAGAGAUGACGACAGCCGGGAAUUCAGUAACAAUUGGAGUGUACAAAGCAUCAAACAUGGCUGUAUUUACACUGAAUACAACGAAGCCUCCCCCAUGAAAGUAAACAAUGAGAGGCAAUUUUGUGGUAGGGAAGGAAUCAAAUGCUGCUCGGGGACGAAUAUUCGAGCCCAAGUGCCCUUAGAUUGGUUAACAUCUGCGUCCUUUGAUAGAUGAAAAGGAUUGCUAGGAUCGGAUGAGGCAGGGGUGCCAGGGGUUUGAACUUGAGACAGGCGUGUGAUAGAGCCAACGGGAUUUUUGGUCAUUCCCAGGUAGCCAUAGGGGUCUUCAUUAGGAUCAAUUAGCUGUGGAAAUUGAUCUGACAUGAUUGAUCUCUUGGACAAGCAACUGUGGAUAGAAAAUAAGGCAGAGUCCAUGUGGUAUUUGUAGAGCCUUGCUAGUUUUAUCUCUUGCUGCAUUUGAUAAUGGACUUGUUGCAGUCGCGUACGUGACUACCUCACUUGAGUGAUCACCUCCUCACCUUGAAACGAUCUCUCUAGCUACCUCAAACCUCGUCAAACUUGCCAUCCAGUUGAAUUCUGCUAUAGAAUUUCAUUAACAAUGUGCGACUAGAAUAUUCUUUAAUUUUGCUGUCUGAAUACAAUGACAUUUGAUCCAAUGAAGAAUAUGAUGUUGUAAACAUUUUCAUGCGACUUGUGGGAUUUGGUCCCAUUCUCUAAUUUGUUUUUCCUUUCCUUUGAACGAGGAGUUAAAGAAUAGUUGUCGACAUUCCAUGGAAGAUGAAAUCAUUGACCAGUUCUUGAACUUAGAUAGGAGAACGUUUGGAUUACUAUUUUUACGAGUUUUUGUAGAAAAAUAUAUAGUGGUCAUUUAAUAUAUGUGAGAUAAAUAUUUGAUGUAUAUGAUUGAAAAAUAUGUUCAUGAAAAACGUAAAAUUUUUUUGAAGAAAAAUUGCAAUCCAGACAAGGUUUUUGACAGUGGAUUCUUCCAUCAAAGUUAUGAAAUUGAGUAGGGUUCUUACCUUAUUAUUAUUAAGUAAAUUCUAGUGUCAGCUCCAACUUCAAAGUUCUACUCCUAUAAUCCAAAUUAUUGCAUGUCCGUUUGACAAUAUUAAAGCCAGAAAGGACCGCAGAUCCAGAUUCCAGCACAACCAAAUUAUCAGGUCAAUUUAAUCCAAUUAUCAGAAUAAUUAUAAUCUCCAAAAAGAAUAGUCCUUGUAUUUGUAUUAUCAGGUAAAAUGCUUUGCAGUUGACUUUUAUGGUUGCCUAAACAUACUUCAGUUAUAUAAAUUUGAAAACGGAAAUAAAUGAUAUUUUUCAUUUUUUUUCUUAAAUGUGAGAGUUCAUUUCUUCCACUCAACUAAAGCUCGGUCAUUGAAAUUCAGGCACCAUCCAGUGAAGUUCCAACUCCUCCCCUCCAGAGUAGACGUGAUGUGGAAAAAGAAAUUUAUAACAAGGAACAAAAAGGAUGGUAAAAGUUAGGCAAUUUGGAGGCUUAAUUGUGUUAAAAUCUGCUUAAGAAAAGGAAAAUAAAAUUAGGGGAAGUUAAUUUUUUACGCAAGAAAUAGAUAGUUAUCAGUAAUGAUGAUAAAUAGGGUUCAUUCUUCUCACUUCAUACAGAUGGUGUACUUAAUAUUAUAUUUCAGCUUCUUUAUUGAUGAAAUAAUUCAUUCUUAUAUGAUUUUGUAGCAAAACCGCAGAUUAUCUGCAUGAGAGUUUUGGUAAUUGGUACUCUGCUCUAAGAAUUGAUAAAUCCGUAAUUGUCUGUUUACUAAGCAUGAGGAGCUCUUACUUAUUAUUUGGUGCUAAUGUCAAUUAAUUGAGGAACUCUCAAGCAAAGAGUUCAUAAAUCCAAAAUCCAUGUAUCACUAGUAGCUCAACUUUAAUUAAAUUUAAUUUACAUUUCAUCAUUCUCUUCCCCCCCCCCCCUCCCCCCUUAAACUUUGGACUUUCCAAUAUAACAGCUUGAUUUCCCCAAGCAAAAAUUAUUUGUUUGUAUUAUAAAUAUAUUUUUCAAUACAUAAUUUUAUUUCAUAUACAUCACAUUACAAAAAGUGUUACAAUAAUUAUUUGAAAUAAUAUUUGAAAUAAACUUAUAUCCAAACACACUCUAUUAUUUGCUUUGUUUGGAUAUCUCAUUUUUUCAAAUAAUAUUUCGCCUAUAUAUCAUAAACACAUUUUUCAACUCACCUUUUAUUUCACAUACAUCACAUCACAAAUAGUGCUACAGUAAUUAUUUUAAAUAAAUAUUAAAGAAUACUCUAUCCAAACAAAUUUCACUUAAAGCAACAACCAAUCAAUUGAGUAAAUUCUCAAGUUUUUGAAAAGUGUGAGACAACGUAUUUAAUUAGUUUAUUUUUUAAAAAAAUGCAUUCAGUAAAUGCAUUUUGAAAAAAAUAAUAUUUAGACAAUUCAAAAUUGCAUUCUAUGAAUAUAACUUUCGAGGAAACAAUGCAUUCAUUUAAUAUGUUUUUCACCCUUUGAAAAUUUUCUUCUAAAAAUCUCACUUUUUGGGAUUUUACUCUAGGCCAACUAUAUGUUAGCUUUGAUAAAUUUGAGAAAAAUUUUGUUAUUAUUCUCAUAGCUCGACCUACCAUAUACAAAAGAGGAAUUAGUGUACAUUAAAAAAAAAGAAAAAACUUCUUAUGCAAAGCAUAUUUAGGUAGAUGGUCAAUUACUUGCAAUUACCUAUACGGUGUUUAAGGUGGACCUCCCAAUCAAGCGUUAUAUAUUAUUUUCAAAAGGUUCUAAUAUUCAACAAAUUAUGCCCAUAAUACACUGAUAGUAGUCAAAAAGUUUUUUUUUUUUUUUUUUUAUUUAAAGCUUUGUGGCGGGAAUCCCUAUUUCCCUCCUUUUAACGUUUCAAAACCAAAAUCAAUCAAGACCUUCGUCAAUCCAAAAACUCCAAACCCCUAAACCUUCUCUCUCACACAUACACACACACAUCAAAAUGCGGAAAAACAACGACGAACAACAGCUCCGUGAUGCUAAACGGGCUUAUAAGGAAGCAAAGGAGGUGGGGAAUCGGGCGGAGGAGGCGCGGUGGGCAAAUUACAUCGGCAACAUUCACAAAAAUCGAGGAGAAUACGUCCAGGCCCUCAAGUGGCUCCGCAUCGAUUAUGACGUUUCAAGCAAUUUUUUGCCAGAUAAACAGCUCCUUCCGACUUGUAAUACCCUCGGAGAACUGUAUCUCCGCCUUCAAGAUUUCAAGGAUGCCCUAAAAAUUCAGGUAAUAUUCUGUUACUAUUACAUAAUUGUGUAGCUUGAAAGUGUGGUACCUUAGGCCUAUGAGUUGUAUGUUGCCCAGAAAAUUAAAAAUUUCCUUUUUUUCAUUAACUGAUUGAUUGAUUGAUGAAGAAAUGCCUAUAAUUGUUGGUUGUUCUUGUUGUGGUAUGUGGUGUUGUACCUUCCACUACCUGUUUGAUUCUGCUUUCUAGAACUAAUUUUCAAUCUAAUUGCUGAAUUGGUUGACAUUUUCGCUUUUUGGUUAAUUAUAAAUUAGAAUUCCGUUGAUCUUCAUACAAAGUUAGUGACUUUAAUUUUGUAUUGCUAGAAAAAAAAUUGUUUUAGAAUAGGGAGGGUGGGAAGGAAGAAGCUGGGAGGGGAGGGAGAGUGUAAUAGAGAUGGUGAGAAUAGAGCCCUCGUGCUAGGAGGAGGGGAAAAAAGACCCUUAUCCAUUGGUCGGCUUCAAAUUAUCAAAGGUAUUGACUUAGCUCCGCUCCUUCCUCCAAAUAUUGGUUAGUGAUGGUCAUCGGCUUGCGUAAUGCCGCAAUUAUGAGAAGCUGUUGUCGUGU
Molecule: long non-coding RNA, 11388 nt
Filed under: Coffea arabica (coffee)
Lineage: Eukaryota; Viridiplantae; Streptophyta; Magnoliopsida; Gentianales; Rubiaceae
Description: long non-coding RNA (CARA_LNC005537)
Source: RNAcentral